RNAcentral lists this transfer RNA (75 nucleotides) under Bacillota bacterium. RNAcentral describes it as "Firmicutes bacterium (anaerobic digester metagenome) tRNA-Val". It matches the Rfam family "tRNA". Rfam says of the family: Transfer RNA (tRNA) molecules are approximately 80 nucleotides in length. Their secondary structure includes four short double-helical elements and three loops (D, anti-codon, and T loops). The record is from RNAcentral. Lineage: Bacteria; Bacillati; Bacillota.
GGGCGGUUAGCUCAGCGGUGGAGCGCACGGUUCACAUCCGUGAGGCCAUAGGUUCGAAUCCUAUACCGCCCACCA